This 468-nucleotide ribosomal RNA is filed under the name uncultured bacterium. RNAcentral's name for it is "partial 16S ribosomal RNA". It matches the Rfam family "Bacterial small subunit ribosomal RNA", at positions 28 to 507 of the family's 1533-position model. The record is from RNAcentral.
GACGAACGCUGGCGGCGUGCUUAACACAUGCAAGUCGAACGGAAAGGCCCUGCUUUUGUAGGGUGCUCGAGUGGCGAACGGGUGAGUAACACGUGAGUAACCUGCCCUUGACUUUGGGAUAACUUCAGGAAACUGGGGCUAAUACCGGAUAGGAGCUCCUGCUGCAUGGUGGGGGUUGGAAAGUUUCGGCGGUUGGGGAUGGACUCGCGGCUUAUCAGCUUGUUGGUGGGGUAGUGGCUUACCAAGGCUUUGACGGGUAGCCGGCCUGAGAGGGUGACCGGCCACAUUGGGACUGAGAUACGGCCCAGACGCCUACGGGAGGCAGCAGUGGGGAAUAUUGCACAAUGGGCGGAAGCCUGAUGCAGCAACGCCGCGUGCGGGAUGACGGCCUUCGGGUUGUAAACCGCUUUCGCCUGUGACGAAGCGUGAGUGACGGUAAUGGGUAAAGAAGCACCGGCUAACUACGUG